GAGGAUAUAGCUCAGUGGUAAAGCACGUGCUUAGCAUGCACGAGGUCCUGGGUUCAAGCCCCAGUACCUCCA
This 72-nucleotide transfer RNA is filed under the name Camelus dromedarius (Arabian camel). It matches the Rfam family "tRNA". From Rfam's summary of the family: Transfer RNA (tRNA) molecules are approximately 80 nucleotides in length. The record is from Rfam by way of RNAcentral. RNAcentral also lists the same sequence under 1 other name. Lineage: Eukaryota; Metazoa; Chordata; Mammalia; Artiodactyla; Camelidae.